UGCGUCAUCCCGGCAAUUUUGCGCGAAGUAUUCUAUUUUAGUUUUGUAUAGUAGAGGACUUAACACAUUUCUACUUUUUAGGUUCAAGAGUGUCACUGAUAAUUAAAAUAUUCUUUGACUGGUCAUAUUACCAACUGAAUUCUCGAAAAUAAUUUUAAUUUGAUUGUCAGUUUCUGUGAAAUAAACCACAGAAUAUUGUGUUCACCGUUUAUUCAUCGUUCAGAAUUCCUUUUGGAAGAUAGAUACAGUAUGGCGUUUGUUGUGUUACUGCAGUAUGUUUGUUUGAAAUGAAUCGUUUGACCAACCACUGAGAAUCAAGACUUGUUGGGCAAAGCCCACCCCUGACUUAUUCAUGGUAAUUAAUCACAGGAAGAUGAUUGUAUUGAAUUCUAAUCGAAUACUAACUACUUUUGGUUAUCCUAAACUUGGCAACCUUAACAUUAUUGUAGGUUUGUGAAACUUAAAAUUUGUGGCUGCUUUCCAGAGCUGUAUUAAGUUUUCCAUUGAAUGUGUGCUAAAAUACAGUGGUACAUGAAACCAAUCCAAGCUUCUGUACAUUUGAUGGUUUCUCUCCAAGUCUCAUCAGUGAGUGAGGUACCUGCCAAAGACAGUGAUUACACAUCAACGGUGUCCCGUUGAAGCCCUGCCAUCUUGAUCAUCACUUAACAUGAUAAUGUAGGAUAACUAGAUGCUAACCCCUUUAAACUUUAAAGACUUGCUCCAACUGAGACGAUAAAUGAUGGACUCUGGUUUAUUUGACAUUUUGAGGCAAACGGCUCAACUACGUGAACAGAAAGUAUGGGCUGAAUUAAUCGUCAUGCUAGAUGCUUGACUUCCAUUAUUGUAGAAGUCUAUGAUACAUAUUUGGUGUAUUCGGUAUCUUAUGAGCCAAUGCAUUGCUUUACAUAUCAUUGUUU
Molecule: long non-coding RNA, 917 nt
Organism: Frankliniella occidentalis (western flower thrips)
Lineage: Eukaryota; Metazoa; Arthropoda; Insecta; Thysanoptera; Thripidae
Exons: 7
Source: RefSeq, a predicted model, not a curated record